This 449-nucleotide ribosomal RNA is filed under the name uncultured bacterium. RNAcentral's name for it is "bacterial SSU rRNA". It matches the Rfam family "Bacterial small subunit ribosomal RNA", at positions 29 to 524 of the family's 1533-position model. The record is from RNAcentral.
AACGAACGCUGGCGGCAGGCCUAACACAUGCAAGUCGAGCGCUCACUUCGGUGGGGGCGGCGGACGGGUUAGUAACGCGUGGGAACGUGCCCAGAUCUACGGAAUAGCCUCGGGAAACUGAGAGUAAUACCGUAUACGCCCUUCGGGGGAAAGAUUUAUCGGAUUUGGAUCGGCCCGCGUUAGAUUAGGUAGUUGGUGGGGUAAUGGCCUACCAAGCCUACGAUCUAUAGCUGGUUUGAGAGGAUGAUCAGCAACACUGGGACUGAGACACGGCCCAGACUCCUACGGGAGGCAGCAGUGGGGAAUAUUGGACAAUGGGCGCAAGCCUGAUCCAGUCAUGCCACGUGAGUGAUGAAGGUCUUAGGAUUGUAAAACUCUUUUAGCAGGGAAAAAAUGAUGGUACCUGCAGAAAAAGUCUCGGCUAACUUCGUGCCAGCCGCCGCGGUAAU